UAGCUCAGUCAGUUGAGCGUAGCGCUAACAAUGCUAAGGUUGCGGGUUCGAUUCCCGU
This 58-nucleotide transfer RNA is filed under the name Apaloderma vittatum (bar-tailed trogon). It matches the Rfam family "tRNA", at positions 8 to 63 of the family's 71-position model. From Rfam's summary of the family: Transfer RNA (tRNA) molecules are approximately 80 nucleotides in length. Lineage: Eukaryota; Metazoa; Chordata; Aves; Trogoniformes; Trogonidae. The record is from Rfam by way of RNAcentral.